This 939-nucleotide long non-coding RNA is filed under the name Chrysemys picta bellii (western painted turtle). Its description in RNAcentral is "lncRNA (ENSCPBG00000002717.1)". Lineage: Eukaryota; Metazoa; Chordata; Testudines; Emydidae. The record is from RNAcentral.
UACACACACUCUCUCUCUCUCUCUCUCUCUCUCUCUCUCUCUCUCUCUCUCUUCUACACACACACACACACACACACACACACACACACACACACACACACACACACACUCAUCUGUUCAUGCAUUUAUGGCCUGAUGAAAGUAUACCCAAUGGAGAAAAGAAUGCAUGUAACUGUGAAAUAUGAAGAAUGUGAAUGCAUUUUUUAAACUGAGGCAUGAUGUUUAAGUAUGUUAGGAUGGACACCCCGGCUCCGUUUAUCUCUAUAAUAGCCCAGUUAUUUUUACUAAACGAUCAGGACUGGCUCUAAGUGACCUCUAAUGAUUUAAAACCAUUUUCUAUCAUUCCAUGAGAAAAAAUACACAAGUCAUUGAGAAUAAUUGGCAAAACGUAUGAGCUAGUGAACGUUUUAUCUUUAUUUAGGAGACGUCGUCUGCAAGAUCACCUCGGUUUUCAUCCAUUGAUCUCUGAAUAUACGGGAUUGGAUUUUCAGAAGUGGUCAGUGCUGGCCCUCAUGUACUUUGAUGGGAGUAGACUUAAGUCAACAUUGUGGCUCCUGCAACACCACCAGUCUUCAGAUGUGUAACAUGGAUUGUACCCACUUCAAACAAUCUAAAACCUCAUUUAUAAUUUUUCAUACAAGGGGCCUCACUUUAAAACAAGUGCUGCAGGCAAGAAGGUAUGUGGCACACAUCUUCGGUUCCCUUGGUGGACAAGAAAGGACUACAACACAAACACAUCUAAUGUGAUAAGGUAAGAGAAGAAGUGAGAAAGCUUACAGGAAUCCAAAUUGUCCAGACACUAGAAAAAUUAAAACACCCAAAUCUAGGCUCAACAGAGCAUGGAAAUAUGAUGAAAAGCAGGGCUAUUAUUUUCAGUGAGUUUAUAGAUACAUAUGCAAAUAGAAUAAAACUAGGAACAUAUUAAAGGGAUCUGACUGA